Long non-coding RNA from Tyto alba (common barn owl), 1676 nucleotides. RefSeq lists it as uncharacterized. The record is from RefSeq and is a predicted model, not a curated record. Lineage: Eukaryota; Metazoa; Chordata; Aves; Strigiformes; Tytonidae. The transcript has 5 exons.
GUCAUCGUGUAGUUUGUUUCUUCUGUCUGCCGUGUCUUUGCCCUUCCUCGGCUCUAAACGUCCUCGCGUCUCUUUGGGCUCGAGGAGCUCGGCACGCGUCUCGGGGGCCAUCCCUAGGGUAUCGAACGCCCAUCUUCAUCGGCACGCUGCCGAUCGGGUGCUUUUUUAUUCUUGCGUUAUGAGCUUAAAGCGUGGGUAGGUCUUGGAAGUUUCCGGUCGGGAGUCUUUUGCGCAGCAUCGUCGCCGGCUGCGGCAUCAGCUCUGCUCCUUAGGCAUCCAUUUUCACGGACUGCGACGUCUCCCCUGCAUCCCUCCGUCCUAGGAUUCGGACUCCUACUUCUCAUCCACCGUCUCGGUUUUGACGGUAGCUUCGUAUAACGGGCCAUAACGCGUGACUCUUUCUGGGGCUGCCGUAUAGCCUCCUCGCCUCCCAGUUGUGGCCCUCUAGGUCUUCUCGCCUGACAUGGUAUCUUGUCUGAGAGCCCUUAUCGCUUAGAGUUUAUCUUGGAAUCAAACCUUUGGUAGCGUUUAGCGUUAGUGUAUGCGUGUGCCUGUUUGGCUCAGAGCUGCCCUGCCUGGGGGGUGUAGAGUCAGGAGUAAGUACAACGGCAGUAGAAGUCAACGGUUUAAAUGUUGAUACGCUUAGACCGCCUAGGCGACAGACGUACGGUCACCUCGUAGUAGCCAUCCAGAGGCUGUGCGGACGGUCAUUUCUAGGGCGUUUUAUGGAGACUGUUGGAGCGGUGUGGGAGCAGCUGUCCAGCAGUAGCAAAUGAGAUGGAAUCUCAAAGGUGUUAAGGCUCGCAGGCGUGGGAGCGUACGCUCUGGGGGGAGGCGCGUGGUUUUCUUUUUAACAACAGGCUGUAGUUGGAUGCCAGCUAGUAUCCCUAGGUGGAAGUGACACCUCCGGAUUUGUUAAGCCUCCGGGUGACUCGCGUAACUGUUUUGACAUGCAGAUCGGUGAGAUGCGCACCAAAGAGUGACGGGGGAGGUGAGCGGAGGGCUGUGAGAAGAUGGAGAGCCACAAGCAAAGUAGGAUUUUGGCACCGGAGGCAGCUUGGGCGAGGUGGCACGCGAGCCUUGACGUGACAACUGGAAACAGCAGCGGCAGGGCAGGUGAAGGGCCGAGUUUUUUGCAGGUGCCGCGGAUGGCCGCGGAGGGGCCGAGCCGCACGCAGACUGACAGUGUGAGAAGGUGCUUUGGGAGCCGCCUUUGGGAUGGGAUGAGCGUUUGAAGCGAGCCGGGGUAGUCGCAAGGAGGAUCGUGGGUGACUCGUUAGAAGCGCAAGGGUAACUUUGUCUCUCGGUAUCUUAGGUAACGCCAGUGACGACGGCUGCAGCAUCUGACUCUGCAAAGAGCCGGUGAGCGGAACCCCGCGACGCUUCUGAGUACAGGGGGGUGUCGUGGAAGAGGUAGGCACGGAGCAGCGCGAUGCCAACGGCCGGUUGUGUUUUCUCCCGUUGGCGUUUUCUUGCAGGUGAAGAGGAAGGCGGCAACUGCAGGAACGUGCUAGUUAGCUGCCGCGCUGCUUUUGUCGAGGAUGGAAUCGGACCUCCGGCCCUGUGAAAGCUAAGUCGACCGAACGGGGCCGCGAGGAGGGGCCGAGGUUGGGAAUUGCAGGGGAGUGUUUGAAAGUUAGCACGGGGGAGAAGGCUGUACGGGAGCGGGGCCCUCC